This 253-nucleotide ribosomal RNA is filed under the name uncultured bacterium. RNAcentral's name for it is "partial 16S ribosomal RNA". It matches the Rfam family "Bacterial small subunit ribosomal RNA", at positions 524 to 776 of the family's 1533-position model. The record is from RNAcentral.
UACGGAGGGUGCAAGCGUUGUCCGGAAUCAUUGGGCGUAAAGCGCACGUAGGCGGCAUUGCAAGUCGGAUGUGAAAUCCCUCGGCUUAACCAAGGAAGUGCAUCCGAAACUGCUGUGCUUGAGUACUUAAGAGGAUCGCGGAAUUCUCGGUGUAGAGGUGAAAUUCGUAGAUAUCGGGAGGAACGCCAGUGGCGAAGGCGGCGAUCUGGGAAGAUACUGACGCUGAGGUGCGAAAGCGUGGGGAGCAAACAGG